AGUAAAUAUAAUAAGAGCAUUUGGUGGAUGCCUUGGCAUUAGAAGGCGAUGAAGGACGUAAUACGCUACGAUAACCGUUUUGAAUAACUCUUUCACUUAUCAUCCUAAAAAAGCCGAAUGGGGAAACC
Molecule: ribosomal RNA, 128 nt
Filed under: Rickettsia endosymbiont of Ixodes ricinus
Lineage: Bacteria; Pseudomonadati; Pseudomonadota; Alphaproteobacteria; Rickettsiales; Rickettsiaceae
Description: partial 23S ribosomal RNA
Rfam family: Bacterial large subunit ribosomal RNA
Source: RNAcentral